RNAcentral lists this ribosomal RNA (1134 nucleotides) under Salmonella enterica. Its description in RNAcentral is "bacterial SSU rRNA". It matches the Rfam family "Bacterial small subunit ribosomal RNA", at positions 1 to 1129 of the family's 1533-position model. Lineage: Bacteria; Pseudomonadati; Pseudomonadota; Gammaproteobacteria; Enterobacterales; Enterobacteriaceae. The record is from RNAcentral.
GAAGAGUUUGAUCAUGGCUCAGAUUGAACGCUGGCGGCAGGCCUAACACAUGCAAGUCGAACGGUAACAGGAAGCAGCUUGCUGCUUUGCUGACGAGUGGCGGACGGGUGAGUAAUGUCUGGGAAACUGCCUGAUGGAGGGGGAUAACUACUGGAAACGGUGGCUAAUACCGCAUAACGUCGCAAGACCAAAGAGGGGGACCUUCGGGCCUCUUGCCAUCAGAUGUGCCCAGAUGGGAUUAGCUUGUUGGUGAGGUAACGGCUCACCAAGGCGACGAUCCCUAGCUGGUCUGAGAGGAUGACCAGCCACACUGGAACUGAGACACGGUCCAGACUCCUACGGGAGGCAGCAGUGGGGAAUAUUGCACAAUGGGCGCAAGCCUGAUGCAGCCAUGCCGCGUGUAUGAAGAAGGCCUUCGGGUUGUAAAGUACUUUCAGCGGGGAGGAAGGUGUUGUGGUUAAUAACCGCAGCAAUUGACGUUACCCGCAGAAGAAGCACCGGCUAACUCCGUGCCAGCAGCCGCGGUAAUACGGAGGGUGCAAGCGUUAAUCGGAAUUACUGGGCGUAAAGCGCACGCAGGCGGUCUGUCAAGUCGGAUGUGAAAUCCCCGGGCUCAACCUGGGAACUGCAUUCGAAACUGGCAGGCUUGAGUCUUGUAGAGGGGGGUAGAAUUCUAGGUGUAGCGGUGAAAUGCGUAGAGAUCUGGAGGAAUACCGGUGGCGAAGGCGGCCCCCUGGACAAAGACUGACGCUCAGGUGCGAAAGCGUGGGGAGCAAACAGGAUUAGAUACCCUGGUAGUCCACGCCGUAAACGAUGUCUACUUGGAGGUUGUGCCCUUGAGGCGUGGCUUCCGGAGCUAACGCGUUAAGUAGACCGCCUGGGGAGUACGGCCGCAAGGUUAAAACUCAAAUGAAUUGACGGGGGCCCGCACAAGCGGUGGAGCAUGUGGUUUAAUUCGAUGCAACGCGAAGAACCUUACCUGGUCUUGACAUCCACGGAAGAAUUCAGAGAUGGAUUUGUGCCUUCGGGAACCGUGAGACAGGUGCUGCAUGGCUGUCGUCAGCUCGUGUUGUGAAAUGUUGGGUUAAGUCCCGCAACGAGCGCAACCCUUAUCCUUUGUUGCCAGCGAUUAGG